GGUCGAUGUGUUAGCAGGAUUAAUAACGACUGCAACAUAUACCUCGUGUAUAUCAUCAUAUGAAUAUUUUAACUACCGACCGUAAACAAGUCGUGUCUCACUAAUCUUUUCACACGUACUUCUUUAAUCAAAUUGAAAAAAAAAAACAACAACAACAACGGCAAAAUGCGCGUUAAGUGAGUAUGUCCGUUGUUGAAAAGAACUUCGUUCUCGAAUAUAUACUCUAAACAAUCAAAGUUUAUUUUGUUUGAAACGGUCUCGAGACGGCUCAUUUACACUCGGAGGUUAAUGUCGAAAAAAAAAGAAUACAAGUGUCAGCUUUAAAAGACUUUCCGAACAAUAUCUUUUAGACGCAGAUUCAACUUUGCCGCCACUGAAAAGUAAAAUUUGAUCAUUCAUUCAAAAUUGCCGCUCUUGUAAAAAGAGCUAUUAAUGGCGCCUUAAGCUUGGACCUACAUCGCCUACGUCCUAAACCAGCAUUGUAGUAUUAUAUACAUAUACGUAUGUACACGUCAUCAACUCUAUAACACGACACACGCGUAUUUUCCUACUUGGAAAAUGUUUUUGUUUCCGUUCCAUCCAAUUCAUAAUGACGUAGGUGAAGGCGAGGGCUUACGAAUAAUUGCGCUAAAUAUGACCUUUUCAUGUACCUAGAUCAAUAUUGCGAUCGAGAUAUACAACGACAUAGUGCUAGAGAUUUUUCCAGGGUCGAAAAUUCAAUUACGCUAAACAUGUAUAUUGUAUAUGGGCAUUGAAAAGUAAGCAGAAACGGUGCUUUAUAGCCAGUAGGUAUACAGUGCUACUGAUACAUUUAU
This is a long non-coding RNA of Acyrthosiphon pisum (pea aphid), 815 nucleotides long. RefSeq lists it as uncharacterized. Lineage: Eukaryota; Metazoa; Arthropoda; Insecta; Hemiptera; Aphididae. The record is from RefSeq and is a predicted model, not a curated record. The transcript has 3 exons.